Long non-coding RNA from Papaver somniferum (opium poppy), 795 nucleotides. RefSeq lists it as uncharacterized. Lineage: Eukaryota; Viridiplantae; Streptophyta; Magnoliopsida; Ranunculales; Papaveraceae. The record is from RefSeq and is a predicted model, not a curated record. The transcript is spliced from 3 exons.
UAUUAGAAAAGGAAGUGGUAUUGAUCUGAAUGAUUCUAGUUUUGAUGUUUUGGGGUGGUGGAAAUUUCAUGGACCGAUGUAUCCAAUUGUAGCAGUGAUAGCUCGUGAUAUAUUAGCAAUUCCUGCGUCAUCGGUGGCUUCUGAAUCUGUUUUCAGCACCAGUGGUAGAGUUGUAGAUAAAUUUCGUUCUUCAAUGCUUCCAGAAACAAUUGAAGCUCUGAUAUGCACACAAGAUUGGAUAAGAAGUGCGCUGAAGAAUGAGGGAUAUGGGUUAGGUAGUACUUCACUUCAGACUCUUUUGGAGGCAAUGGAGGAGCUCGAGUCAGACGCUGAUGAUGCAACAUCGCACAUUGUCUAACUGACUGACUAUCAAUUUAAGGAACAAUUGGAAAUAUGAUGGUUGGAACUUCUUUUUGGUAUAUAUAUAUUAUAUAGGCAUAGCCAAAGAACAUGCGAAGUGCGCGAACUACAUCCUUCUUUUUUGUAUAUGUACUUGUGAAGGAAAAACACAUUUAUCUUUUGGGGCUUCUACAGUUUAUAGAAUGAUAUGUCUGUCAACUUUUGUGGUUAUAAUACGACAGGCUAUAUCCAUUAAGGCAGGUACUGAAUCUACUGAUGGAGCAGUUAUCGGCUAAAAACAUGUCUGCCAACUUUUGUAUUUAGUAUCUAUCAUAUAUAAUGGCAGAUUCUUACUUAUAGCUAGGAAAGUAACUUUGAUUUUCCUAAUCUAAGGAUUCUAAGCUCAAGUGUACUCUACUUUUGUAUGUAUGUUAAAGAUGGUCACUUGGGAAGUCA